GUGGCUUUGGAUAAAAGCGUCUGCUAAAUGACUAAAUGUAAAUUAAGUCAUAAGUUCUUAAGUUCUCAGCUUGUGAACUACGUAUCCCAUGAACCACUCCGAAUGACGUAGAGUAGGCGGAUGCUGACGCUGUUGUUAUGUGUCACGUUGCACACGAUGUCAGUAAAAAGUUAUCAUUGCUGUUCAGUCCUCACGACUUAUUUAGAAGGAGGCUUCAAAAUGCUGUUCCACAAGGUCCUCAACGUCUCCUGAAUACAUUGUGUCUGGGACAAUGUACUCCUCAUAAUCGACCCCCAGAAGCACGAUCACGCCCAUUCCGGAAGACACUCCGAUCACCUCCACCGUCUCCUCAAUGAGCCGCCUUUCUGAAACCUGUGUUUUUACAGUGUUUGGGCGGAGGUGGGUCAGCUCCACAGUGUCUCCAUUUAACACCUCGAUAAGAGCCUCAUCUCUCCACAGAGAAACCUCAACUGCUCUUGAGUUGCAGUUUAGCUUAAAGUCCAGGACGGGCACUUUACCAAAUUGCACCUGUGCCAUCCUCACCUCCUGCAACUACAAAUCACAUACCAGAGGAGACUGACGUACCCAUCUUCUGAAGGGUCCACUUUGUCCACGGAGACCAGAGGGGAAUGUGGAACAAGGAUCUCUCUGGCCCUUCUCUCCUGAUCUUCAUUGUUUAAUCAGUGGGUCACAGUUGUUCCUGCUAUACUCACCAUUCUUCGAUGAAAUGCUACUGCCUUUCUUGUGACACGUGUGGCAACGCAUUUACAUUUCAGUGGCUCCGGACGGCUGUAUGGACUGCAUGUUGCCAUUGUGAUGCUAAGAACAAAUACACAGAAAGGAGUAGUCAGUGAGUCGAGUGAGAGGGGGGUCAGUGGGCCAGUGGUCUUAAACUUGGCAGUGGUCCAAUCAGAUGACGUCACCGAGGCGCAUAGUAACAAGAGGGUGCACAUUUGGCGGGUGAGCACAUCUUUUGGACAUGUGACUAAUGAGCUGUCAAUCAUUCUGGAUUCAUCCGGUCCGGCGGUCCUUCCUUCAGAUCAUUGCAUCCUCUGCUGUUGUGUUGUCCUCCUUCCUCCUCCCUACUGCCAAGUGGUCAUCAGAACUUUCUUUUAAAGGGUUGAGGCUGCGUUGGCUGUCUAUGCAAGUAACAUAUGCACAACAUGUUAAUCAGACAUAUCUUUAUUUUGAAAUGUACAGUUCUGUAGCUUUACAUGGACAUAGCUGUCUUAGCCUUUAAUGUAAAAACCUGAUUCUAAAGAAGUUGGGACACUGUACAAAUUAUGACUGUACAAAUUAUGAAUAAAACUGAAUGCAAUGAUGUGGAAGUUUCAGAUUUCAAUAUUUUAUUCAGAAUACAACAUAGAUGACAUAUCAAAUAAUAUAAGUUUAUGACAUUUGUAAAUUAUUC
Cyprinus carpio carpio is the source of this 1411-nucleotide long non-coding RNA. The record is from Ensembl. NCBI's taxonomy places the organism in Eukaryota, Metazoa, Chordata, Actinopteri, Cypriniformes, Cyprinidae.